Molecule: long non-coding RNA, 905 nt
Organism: Pyrus x bretschneideri (Chinese white pear)
Lineage: Eukaryota; Viridiplantae; Streptophyta; Magnoliopsida; Rosales; Rosaceae
Exons: 3
Source: RefSeq, a predicted model, not a curated record
GGACCGAUCAAUCCAAACUGAAUCACUCAUCUCCGGAAAACCAAUGGACGCAAGCUCAUGCGCCGCAGUUACUUUCUUAGUGAGUGAGUAAUUUACUGCUAAUCCUGGCAACAAAGGUUAAACAUCGCUUUCCAUGUUCAUCACACUUUCUCCUUUCCCAGAGACUCAGUGCCAUACAAAGUCCAGAACCGGAUAUUUUCCACAGAAUGAUUCUCAUACGACGUGUCGUUAAUUAACACCAUCAGAAAAUCGAAGGCAGUGCCGCAGUGGUCACGGACCACACAACAUGUGUACAUGCCACACAUCUCAACUUCUUGUCUUUUGUGGCACAAACACUCAGACUUUUAGAGAGAGAGAGAGAGAGAGAGAGAGUGUGUGUGUGUGAGAGAGGAGAGAGAGGCUCAUGGCUGCCAUCUGCGGUCGAGUCCAUCUUUCGCCAAAUCAUGGAUUCAAUCUCAACAAAUCAGGUGAUAAACAUUGUUUUCAUAGACAAAGUCCAAAUCGGAGCAUCUUGAUGACAGCAUCGGCCACCAGGCUUGGCACAGGUGGUGGGGUGUUAGACAAGCCAACCAUAGAGAAAACAACUCCUAGGCGUGACUCUGAGUUUGACGUGAGAUAAAUAAAGGUUGUACCACGGACGACUAGUGUCGGAACGAGUAGACGACGAUGAUUAUGAGGACGUGUGACUGUGAGUGUCUUACGAUUUCUGAGGGAUUUGAAUUGGAUUUGCCUGUCUUCUCAAAUUGUUGACUUUUUUACUUCCAAAUUCCUGUUGCUUAUGAAAACUUUGGCGCCACUCUUACAGGCUGGUUUUAUUGGGAAAAUGAACUUUACACACUUAAUUUCUGUUUAUUUUUUAACCUUGAUUUUACUCUUCAUUCUUAAUAAUUUUGGAUUGCAAUGAA